GAUGAACGCUGGCGGCAUGCCUAACACAUGCAAGUCGAUCGGUAAGGCUCUUCGGAGUACACGAGAGGCGGACGGCUGAGUAACGCGUAGGAACACACCCUGCAGUGAGGGAUAAGACACCGAAAGGUGUUCUAAUACCGCAUACGGUCUUCGGAUUAAAGCAUUUAUGCGCUGAAGGAGUGGCCUGCGUCAUAUUAGAUAGUUGGUGAGGUAAUGGCUCACCAAGUCGAUGAUGUGUAGCUGGUCUGAGAGGAUGAUCAGCCAGACUGGAACUGAGACACGAUCCAGAAUCCUACGGGAGGCAGCCGUGAGGAAUAUUCCACAAUGCGCGAAAGCUUGAGGGAGCAAUCCCGCGUGCAGGAUGAAGGCCCUCGGGUUGUCAACUGCUUUUCUAAGGGAAGAUUAUGCCGGUAACUUAUGAAUAAUGGACCGCUACCCACGUG
RNAcentral lists this ribosomal RNA (443 nucleotides) under uncultured bacterium. RNAcentral describes it as "partial 16S ribosomal RNA". It matches the Rfam family "Bacterial small subunit ribosomal RNA", at positions 28 to 507 of the family's 1533-position model. The record is from RNAcentral.